ACCUAUAGCCACAUCACUCUGAGAGUUCCCAGUCUCAUCUGAUCUUGGAAGCUAAGUAGGGUUAGUGCUUUGAUGAGAGAAGUGAGACAAAUCUGAGUUUCAAACAAGUUGUGGACA
This 117-nucleotide ribosomal RNA is filed under the name Erinaceus europaeus (western European hedgehog). The record is from RNAcentral. Lineage: Eukaryota; Metazoa; Chordata; Mammalia; Eulipotyphla; Erinaceidae.